This 28-nucleotide non-coding RNA is filed under the name Bombyx mori (domestic silkworm). The record is from RNAcentral. Lineage: Eukaryota; Metazoa; Arthropoda; Insecta; Lepidoptera; Bombycidae.
UUCACCGGAAAAACCUGCAUCCGCCAGC